This is a long non-coding RNA of Aedes aegypti (yellow fever mosquito), 532 nucleotides long. RefSeq lists it as uncharacterized. Lineage: Eukaryota; Metazoa; Arthropoda; Insecta; Diptera; Culicidae. The record is from RefSeq and is a predicted model, not a curated record. The transcript has 2 exons.
CUUCAUCGAUGUGCAUCCUAACUGUCAGUCAUGUAUCUUCGCGUUGUCGCAUCAACAAAAAACAACUAGUUUUAUUUUGUUUCUUUACGCGGUUGUAUACUUGGAACAGGAAGUUUAGCUUAGUUUAUGAGCAUUAAUUAGUGGUUUCUAUAGAUAAAUCAUUCAUUAAAUAAAGUGACACAAAUCGCAGCUCCAGCAGUAGAAAUUUGUGGAAGAAAUGCAUCAGGAAUGUUGGCUUUUCCCCCGGACUACAGAUCACUAGAAUCGGAAUCGGACGGAAAUUCUGAUGAGCCGGGAAGCAUAACAACGAUUCAUCCGAAGUCAUACUCAACCCUCGGUUUCGAAUCAUAUGCAAAUAAUACAAGGAAUGAAUCGCCAUUGGUUGCCGUAAUGAAUAGCCGGAAGUAUAUUCGAAACAACGAUUCUAAGCAACAAGGGAGGCAGUAGUUUUUAUCGAUCCAGUAAAACUAUUUCUUUUAAUUAGAAACACCGCAAUAUAAUGGAGUCAAUAAAGUUGUGUGAUCAUGUGUAU